RNAcentral lists this ribosomal RNA (253 nucleotides) under uncultured bacterium. RNAcentral describes it as "partial 16S ribosomal RNA". It matches the Rfam family "Bacterial small subunit ribosomal RNA", at positions 524 to 776 of the family's 1533-position model. The record is from RNAcentral.
UACGUAGGGUGCGAGCGUUAAUCGGAAUUACUGGGCGUAAAGCGUGCGCAGGCGGUUUUGCAAGCCGGAUGUGAAAUCCCCGGGCUCAACCUGGGAAUAGCAUUUGGGACUGCAAGGCUCGAGUGCGGCAGAGGAGACUGGAAUUCCUGGUGUAGCAGUGAAAUGCGUAGAUAUCAGGAGGAAUACCGAUGGCGAAGGCAGGUCUCUGGGCUGACACUGACGCUCAUGCACGAAAGCGUGGGGAGCAAACAGG